CUGCCAAGUGUCUGUUUUGAAAUGAGACCAUACUAAUGUUUGAAGUACUGAUGCUUGUGAAUUCGGCUUUAUUAAUUCAUACACUCUUAAACACUUUUUUUUAAACUCAUAAAUCACAUUUGGCACUAUUGCAAUUUUAAUCUAAUUUAUCUGGUAUAGAUGGAUUCUGUACUCAAACAUUAUAGUUUUCAUUUUAGUCAAAAAGCACACACUCUUUUAUUAGUUAAUAUUUUCUUUAAAUGACUGGUCAAUAUUUCACUAUGUAUUUAAAUACUUCAUGAAUGUACACAGCAGAGUGUGAACAGGACUUUUAUUUUGGUUUUGCGAUAUUACGUCAUAAGGCGGCGCCGCGCUCCUGCGUCUGUUGUGGUUCGGCUGUAGAAAGAAAAACUCCUGGUGAAGCGACUGAGAUCCACGUGACACUAUUAUAAAGAUGGCGUUUAUUAAAGAGGAGAGUGAAGAAAUGAAGAUUGAAGAAACAUUCAGAGUGAAACAAGAAGAUACUGAGGAACAAACAGACCUGAUGGCACUGAAAGAGGAGGCUGAGGUACAGAAUGAAAUGGAAGAUAAAGAUCAAUAUAACCAUCAUCAUAAUUUCAUAACUGGAGAAAAAUCUUUUAGUUCCUCACAGCCUGAAAAGACUUCCUCACUAAAAGGAACUCAAAAGGCAGGGAUUAGAAGACACUACAUCUGCCAACAGUGUGGAAAGAGAUUCAAUCAAAAAGGACACUUUAAAGAGCACAUGAGAAUUCACACUGGAGAGAAACCCUACAUGUGCACUCAGUGUGGAAAGAGUUUCAGUCAAAAAGGACAUUUUAAAGAGCACAUGAGAAUUCACACUGGAGAGAAGCCUUAUAACUGCCAUCAGUGUGGAAAAUGUUUCACUGGAAAAGGAAACCUUAAAAAACACAUGAGAAUUCACACUGGAGAGAGCCCUUUUAUGUGCCAACAGUGUGGACACAGAUUCAAUCAUACAGGAAGCCUUAACAGGCACAUGAGAGUUCACACUGGAGAGAAGCCGUACACGUGUCCUCAAUGCGGAAAGAGCUUCAGUCAACAUGGAAAUCUUGUAAAACACAUGAUAAUUCACACUGGAGAGAGCCCUUUUAUGUGCCAACAGUGUGGACACAGAUUCAACCAUAGAGGAAGCCUUAACAGGCACAUGAGAACUCACACUGGAGAGAAGCCUUACACGUGUUCUCAAUGCGGAAAGAGUUUCAGUCAACAUGGAAAUCUUGUAAAGCACAAGAAAAUUCACAUUGGACAGAGCCUUUUCACUUGCCAGUUUCACUCUGAAAGAAAACCUUAAACACAUGAGCACUCACACUAGAGAGAAGUUGUUUACUUGUCAUCUAUGUGAAAAGACUUUCAGAUAUAAGAUAAGAAAUCUAUGGCUGAUGCCCUGUCUCGUCUCCAUCAACCUAAUCCUGAGAACAGUUCUCCAGAACCUAUUCUCCCUCCAGCCAUGAUUGCCAGCCCAAUCCAAAGGUCCAUCGAUGAGCAAAUUACCCAAGCUAACUGCACCGAACCUGCUCUGCCAGGAGGUCCAGAGGGGCCCCUCUACAUACCACCAACCUAUCGUCUGCCCCUCAUGGACUCAACUAACACGUCCCUGGGCUUUGGACACCCAGGUAGUCAAUGUACUCUCUCGCGCUUAUGUCAUCGCUACUGGUGGCCCACCAUGGCUCAAGAUUUCUCCUGAUAUUGAUCAAAGGGUUGAUCAAUUGAUCAAAGGAUGCUCAGUCACCAUUACCAACACUUCCCGAGACUCCUGAAAGAAAGCUGGUUCCGCUGCCCAUUCCACACCAUCCAUGGUCUCAUCUUGGCAUUGACUUCAUGACCGACCUCCCACCUUCUAACAAUCAUACCUGUGUGUUUGGCGUUGUUGACCGCUUGUCAAAGGCAUGCAAACUCAUCCCUCUCAAAAGAUUACCAACUGCAUUCGAAGCUGCUGAAGCGCUCUUCCAAAAUGUGUUCCGCCACUUCAGCCUUCCUGAAGACAUUGUAUCAGUUUGUGGUCCUCAAUUCAUCUCCCGUGUAUGGCAAGCAUUCUUCAAACUGCUGGUAGUGCCAGUAAGCCUCUCCUCUGGUCACCACCCUCAAAAUUAACGACCUGACUGAACAGAAAAUAAAGGAGAUUGGGAGGUACCUGAGGUCCUACUGACACCAGAACCAGGACAGCUGGAGCCAGUUCCUUCAAUGGGAGCCCAGAACUCCCUCAGACAAUCCACCACUAGGCUCACCCCAUUUCAGUGUAUCCUUGGGUACCAACCUCUGUUAUUCCCUGGUCCAGUGAGCCCUCUUGAGGUUCCAGCUGUCAACCACUGUUUCCAGCAGAGUGAGAGAGUAUGGGACUCAGCUCAUGUGCAGCUCAACGAGGUCACCUACAGACUAAACCUUCCAUCACACUACCGCAUCUCACCAUCAUUUCAUGUGUCACUCCUUAAACCUUACACUGAACCCUCGCUGCCUUUCCCCACAGAAUUGGUGAUGAGGUACUUCCACUUCCUGAACUCACAGACGAGGAAGCCAAUUCCAUCUGAACACCCAGAUCGCCCAACUCCCAGGGGUUGAAGUAGGCCCCAUCAUCGUCGUCCAAACCGGCCGUCAGAAGCCACCCUUGGAGGAGGGGGUACUGUGACAGAGUAACAACCAUCGCAGACCACUAACCUUCCGUUGUCACCAGAUCAGCACACUCCACCCACUUAUUCAAUCUUCCUGGAAUUCUGAUUCACGGCACCUGCACCUCAUCAUCAGCACUCACUAUAAAGAGACACUUCUCUUGUACUCCCUUGUCUGGUUUCGUCUGUACAAACACUAAAGACUCCUUACCUGGUAUUUAACGGCUUCUUUGAAAUACUCACCCAUCUUGCAUCAUCUGUCACUUGUCUGCUUCGACUUUGCACAUCUGCAAAGAGACUAUUACUAUCCAGCCAAGUCUAGUAUUCAUCAUUCAAUAUUUUUUAUACUCCCCAAUCUGCAUUCCUGUCAAAAUCAGUGCCCCUGUUCAAUAAACUCUGUGUUUUACAAACA
Molecule: RNA transcript, 3033 nt
Organism: Megalobrama amblycephala (Wuchang bream)
Lineage: Eukaryota; Metazoa; Chordata; Actinopteri; Cypriniformes; Xenocyprididae
Gene name: gastrula zinc finger protein XlCGF8.2DB-like
Exons: 4
Source: RefSeq, a predicted model, not a curated record